RNAcentral lists this unclassified non-coding RNA (285 nucleotides) under Hevea brasiliensis (rubber tree). The record is from RNAcentral. Lineage: Eukaryota; Viridiplantae; Streptophyta; Magnoliopsida; Malpighiales; Euphorbiaceae.
UGGUAAAUAUUCUCAAGCAACCCGGUUCAGUACAACAUGCCUCUAUUGAGUCUAGCUUGACAUGGGAAUCCUCAUGCUUUUGCAAUUGAGAGGCAUAUCUGAAAACUUUUCCACAUCCAUCUUCGGGGCAAACAAACUGCUUCUGACAUUUUUUAGGAGGAGCUUCACCUUCAUGGCAUUCUUUCAAGUGUCUAUGUACACAUGAUAUAUAUGCAAAUUCACGGUUACAGCUCUCAAUUGGACAUUUGAAUAUAAUUCCUUGAUGCUGGAGAAGGUGGCGGGUCA